Molecule: ribosomal RNA, 849 nt
Filed under: Pedobacter quisquiliarum
Lineage: Bacteria; Pseudomonadati; Bacteroidota; Sphingobacteriia; Sphingobacteriales; Sphingobacteriaceae
Description: bacterial SSU rRNA
Rfam family: Bacterial small subunit ribosomal RNA
Source: RNAcentral
GCCUAAUACAUGCAAGUCGAACGAUAGUGAGAAGCUUGCUUCUCACGAAAGUGGCGCACGGGUGCGUAACGCGUAUGCAACCUACCUUAAUCAGGGGGAUAGCCCGAAGAAAUUCGGAUUAACACCGCAUAAAAUCACAGUAUAGCAUUAUACAAUGAUCAAAUAUUUAUAGGAUUAAGAUGGGCAUGCGUGACAUUAGUUAGUUGGCGGGGUAACGGCCCACCAAGACCACGAUGUCUAGGGGAUCUGAGAGGAUGACCCCCCACACUGGUACUGAGACACGGACCAGACUCCUACGGGAGGCAGCAGUAAGGAAUAUUGGUCAAUGGAGGCAACUCUGAACCAGCCAUGCCGCGUGCAGGAAGACAGCCCUCUGGGUCGUAAACUGCUUUUAUUCGGGAAUAAACCUAUCUACGUGUAGAUAGCUGAAUGUACCGAAGGAAUAAGGAUCGGCUAACUCCGUGCCAGCAGCCGCGGUAAUACGGAGGAUCCAAGCGUUAUCCGGAUUUAUUGGGUUUAAAGGGUGCGUAGGCGGCUUAUUAAGUCAGGGGUGAAAGACGGUGGCUCAACCAUCGCAGUGCCUUUGAUACUGAUGAGCUUGAAUAUACUAGAGGUAGGCGGAAUGUGACAAGUAGCGGUGAAAUGCAUAGAUAUGUCACAGAACACCGAUUGCGAAGGCAGCUUACUAUGGUAUUAUUGACGCUGAGGCACGAAAGCGUGGGGAUCAAACAGGAUUAGAUACCCUGGUAGUCCACGCCCUAAACGAUGAAUACUCGCUGUUAGCGAUAUACAGUUAGCGGCUAAGCGAAAGCGUUAAGUAUUCCACCUGGGGAGUACGCUCGCAAGAGU